This 209-nucleotide non-coding RNA is filed under the name Kutzneria sp. 744. Lineage: Bacteria; Bacillati; Actinomycetota; Actinomycetes; Pseudonocardiales; Pseudonocardiaceae. RNAcentral also lists the same sequence under 1 other name. The record is from RNAcentral.
UAUUGUGCUCACCGAGCUGGUUCGGCCGUCCCGCCAGGGCGGUCGUCGUAAGAGGGAACCCGGUGUGAAUCCGGGACUGCCCCGCAGCGGUGAACGGGAACGACCGCCGUCACGAAGCACUGGACGCAGAGGUCCGGGAAGCGACGGCCAGUAGGUGCCGACCAGGCAUGCCCGUGAGUCCGAAGACCUGCCCGCUCGCCCGUUCCGCA